UAACCUUUUAAAAGUGGCAAAGUUUGCUACUGUAGCAAUAAAUAGUGUUUUGGGUGAUAAAAGCAUGAAAUUUACUGUUCCUAAGAUUGGCAAAUCUGAGCCCUUCAUUUGUUCUUCCAUUUUAGCCGCACGAUCUUUUUGCUUUAUCUCCUCUCCUUCGCGUCUAUUCUAUGUCCUCUCUCUGUCUUUAUCUUCUCUCUCCUCUGUCCUAUCUCCUUUCUUCAUUGCUAUUCCUUCUUAUUUUUCUUCUAAAUUCUUCUAUUUGUUCACCCCAUUAAAAUUACAAUCGGAGAAAAUGAAAGAUGACAACUUUGAGGUGCGCAAAUUAUCUAUUUGUUUGCUUUGUCAAUUGAUUUAUAGUAAGCUGUGAGUAGUUUGAAAUUAGGAUUUGGAAUAGUGUGUUUGAAGAACUUGCUAUUUAUUUUGUCAAAAUUAUUGAUAAUUUUGUAUUAAAAUUUGCUUUAUUUUGUGGGUUUCUGCAUUUGUAUGUUAUCUACAAGCUUAUGACUGUUGUGAAUUCUCAUAAUAUUCUUUGGGUUAUGAACCUUUGAGAAAGAUGUGCAGGCUUCAACUAGAAUUGAUGAAGAAAUAGUGCAGCUGCAGCAAGCAUGAAGGAAACACAAGAAAUCAACCAAGGAAAAGAAGAGAGAGAAAGUGAGAAACGAAGGAACGCCAGCCACGAUCGCCCCCCGGAACCCUGAGCCACGAACCCGCUGGAACCCCAGUCACUGUCGCCGCCAAACGAGCCAUGUGAACUGUUUUAUUUCCUAAGCCCUAUGUUUAAAUUUCAUUUUUUUUGAGGUAAUAUUUGUUAAUUGUAGUGUAAAAUUGUUUGGUUUUGAUAUGGUUGAAUACUUAUUUCUCUCUUUCAUCUUUGUGAGAAGUUGUAUUAUCUCUCCUUGAAAUCCUCUCUAUUAAGAGGUUUGCAUUCGAUACAGGACGUUGCCGUGCUACACAUCUUUGUUCUGUCGAAUAGUGUAUGUGAUGAAAUGUUACAGUUCAUAAUCAAUAUGUUUGAUUAAUUGUCUCUUGGUUUCUGCCUUUUUGUUGUCUCAUAAAAUACAUUGGACUUCAGAUUUUAAUUAAAGCAAUGGAUAUCAAAAAAGCAAAGUUCGAAUGUGCUAUCUGAUUUAUGAUUGAGCAAACUUCAUCAUGGCUUGGCUCCCUUCUUCCAGAUACUGCAAGUUUUAGGAUUCAGCAACUUUAUAAUAUUUGUGAAUUGUAGUGUAAGAUACUAAAAGUAGAAUCUUGAAUUUUACCAUAUAUUUUGAUGUUAUUUUCAAAUGGAGCUAGAUAUAUUAUCCAAACGAAAUAGAUGGGUAGAACCGUUGAAGGGUUGACUUCUGUAUUAGGUAGGUAUUUCUGGGAUGUUCAUCCUUUCACACAGAUAAUUGGUGCUUGAGGGGAGAUUGGUAUCUAGACCUCAUGUCUUUGUUUGUCCUGUUAUCUAUUAUACAUAAGACAAAAGUUUUCGUCUGUCGUAUCCAAGAGACCCUAGAUGAUAGUUUGACAUGGGUGAGCGAAGCACCAUGUACUAUUGAUAAAUGUUGAUUGGCUCUAUUUGUUUUAAGGACCUUAGUUGUUGAGCUUCAAUGAAGGUUUUUCGACUUGCUUGUUUCAAUGAUACUACAGGCUCAUUCUUUUCAAUAUCUUUGGCUAUUUAUAUGGCUUUUAUUGUUGGGCUUACUACAACUCUUAUCAUGUAUCGAUUCGGUGGAGGGUCAUCGUCGUAUGCAGAAAACUCAAAUGUUUUGUGAAUCUUGAUAAGUUCUAAUCCUGCUGAGGUUGUUCAUUCUACCUUUUAGUAAGUAGAAUUAGUGCAUGCAUGUUUGCCUUGAGUUUUUAGGUCUGUGGCUUUUGCUUGAUCUUUCUUCCUGAUGUUACCACUAACUGAUUCAGGAACUACACUUAUUCAGGAAUUAACAGAAGAUGUGCUGGAGGAUCACUUCCCGACUUCAAAAUUUUGAAGAAUGGGCUGCCAAAAGAACUUUUUCUCUCGAAUGAUGCUAAUGCUCUUGCUGAACACACAGAAAAGGUUUUGGUGAUUAAGGAUGAUGAAGUAGUUCAUAUUAAGUUGAUGAGUCACUAAAGCACACUUUUCAGGUCAGUUGAGCUAAUUCUACUAUAUUUUCAUAUUUUUUUUAGUAAUUUUGGGUAUUUUUAAUUAUCCUGAUCUGAUUUGGUGUAAAUCUCUUGUAAUUCUGUGAUUUAAUGCUAUUUUGGAAAUAAUUAUUGCUUGUUUGGUUGAAUUGGUCUGAUGAAAUUGGUUAAAAAGUCACCAAUUUUGACUUUUCCUCAUCUUUACAUAGAUAAUUGAGUGUCAUAGUAGCUAGAUGGGUGGAAAGCUUUAGUAACAAUUUCAUCAUUGCUAUUGGAAUUUCUGGUACACCGACACUGUUUAAUGGUUCUUUGGUUUGAAAGCUUUGAUCUGGUAAACUAUCAUCAAUAUGUGGGUGGUUGAAGAAUUAUCUAUAUCAACUAGAUCUACCACCAAACUUCUGCAUGAUCUUCAUAGUUUGCGGCACGAGAUGCGAAUUCCUAACUUUGUUGAUGGAUAUGGUGAUUGGUGAUGGUUGUAUUCUGUUUGCUGUUCAAAUUUUGGAGGAUUCUUGAUCCGAUAAUAUCAAGUUGACUGAAUUUUGUUGCAGCUCCAGUUUAUGAUUGUUAUUACAUGGAUUUAGAGUUGAUGGUGAUCACGGUUCUGUUUCUUGUGCUGGUUAUGUGAAAGAUUGUAGUGUUUAUAUUUUUCGGAGUUUAAAGACUAGGAUUGCUUUUACUAAGUUGCCCUUUCUUUCUAUCGUGUAUUUCAGAAUAUGCAUCAGGGGUACCCAACUGAGACUCUUACUUGGUUUCUUAGAGCUAGGGAAUGGAAUGUUCACAAGGCACACAAAAUGUUGGUUGACGCUUUGAAUUGGAGGGUACAAAAUGAGAUUGACUAAAUAUGAAUAGUAAGUGGAAGCUUAUGAUUUUCGCUCUAGCUACUGCCCAUGAGACAUGUCAUACAACUCAUGGGUAAUGAUGAAUAUCAUCACUCUUUGCAUUUUUGAUAGAUAGUAUUUACUUAUGACCAAAAGGCUGAAAAUUGACAUACACGGUAUAAUAAUAUAUCUGAAGUUUGAAGAUCUCUUCUUUCAAGUUCAAGCAUUGCUAUGCUUACAUCAUUCUCAUUCACGGUGGUUAAAAUCUAAUUGUAUACAUUGUCUGUUCAAUGUAUCUUAUUGAGCAUUUUGAUGUGUGUAAAACUAAGUUAAAUACAUGCACAUCAUGUUUAGAAUGCGUUAAAAAAUGACCAAUUUAUUUUAGGAAUUACCAUAUUUUCCUUCAGUGGAUUAUGCAUCGAGGGGCCUACAAUUAUGGUCUAUCAUUCUAAUCCAUCCCUUAAUUUACCCAGAAACCAAUUCUUCCCGCUGAGCUUUACAGAAAAGUGCGUGAUAUCAACAAGCUUUUCUGUGACACAUACCUCAAUAGAUCACAGAAUACCUUCUCCAAGUACAGAAAAGUAUCAACUAUCACAGAAUACCUUCUCCAAGUACAGAAAAGUGCCUUCAUACCUCAGUAGAUCACAGAAGUACUUGGAGAAGGUAUUCUGCAUCUAAACUACGGUACACAUGCCUUUCAGGAAUUCUAAUAAUUGGUUGUUUAGCUACAUAUUCCUGUGAUACAAAUGCAUUAGGUCUCCUAUAAUUUUGUUAGAAAUACAUACAUGAUGGGUGUUUACAGCUAGAGGAGUAUUCCUACACAAAUCUUUUAACCUACAAUUGAUCAUCUUAUUUUCGCACCACAAAACCAAGGAUCUUUUUUCAAUGUUAAAUUUUUUAUUGUAAUUUUCUUUUUCUUUGCCAAUUAUAUCAGUUUUUUGCUUAGUGGAUGAUCCCAUGUCCGGUCAGUCCUCAGAUAUCUCAGGUGUAUCAUCUACUUUAGAUGUGAGUUGUUUUAUGUUCUUGUGCUUAGAGUGAUUAAAGCUUGAUUAUGCAAGCUGUCUUUGAUUAGGUUCAUGGAGUGAUACAGAACAUUGGUGGCAAUAACCCUGCUGUUUCUGAAGGCGUGGAGAGCAUCUAUUAUCUAUGUCCGUUUUAAGGCGGCUUCAAGUGAGUCAUAUCAAAAUGUUAUUCACUAUCUUGAUGUAAGGAAUGGGUUCAAGUCGAGCAUAUUUGAGUGACAAAGGAUUUGGGAGAAACACUCAUAUGGUCGGGAUGAUGUUGAGAUCAUCACUGUAAAGGACCCUCUCAUCACCAUUGAAGUAUUCAUUUGAAGGAGGGCGGAGAAAGGAGAGGAACAGUACAAUAUUGUUGAGUGUUUUUAUGUUAAUGCAGAGUUGGACACAUCUCUCUUUUUUCCUAUGUAGAUCUAUGUGAAAAUAUUAGCUGUGGUUCUACUCUUUUAGUAUUGUUUUUGGUAAUUUAAGCGUCAAAUGGGCUAUUCUUUCUUGAAUGUCCAUGUUGAGUGUAUUUUUACAAUGAACUGGCGUA
Beta vulgaris subsp. vulgaris (sugar beet) is the source of this 4469-nucleotide long non-coding RNA. RefSeq lists it as uncharacterized. The record is from RefSeq and is a predicted model, not a curated record. The transcript is spliced from 5 exons. Lineage: Eukaryota; Viridiplantae; Streptophyta; Magnoliopsida; Caryophyllales; Amaranthaceae.